ACCAAGGAGUCAUAACCUCCAAGACAUUUUAUUUUGACAGAAAAUUUGUGACAAAUCCAUCAGAAAUGGGAUCAGGAAUUUUUGGUCUCCCAGUCCCCAGUCCUGAUUUUUAAUUCCCAAUUCCAAAGUUCUAUACUAACAUCCAAACUAUAGCUUGACUUUUAAAUUUACCCCACUCCUUGGGAAGAGAAGUGCAGGCAGGCAGCUGUUUCCAGGAGAUCAGAAGAAGGUAAAUGAAUACUCAAGAUUUACAGCGUCAAAGGCUAUGUUGAGGAUAAUUCUUAUGACUUUGUAAAAGACAAGGUACUGAAAACCAAGAAAUGAAGGCUGUCAUCCUCCCCAUGGCUCCUAAAAGAGUUUUGGAACCUCUCUUUUAUGUCACUACAUUGCUGGUCUAGCUUCCUAAGGCAUUGAGCUGCUAGGCUGUACCAUACAGUUUUACAAAAAUAUACAUCAACAUAUUUCUCACCCUCUUGUCCUACCUCUCACCCUUCUGAAUUACUUUUUCCUCUUAGUUUGAGUCCAGGUUAUUUUUAACUAACUGUAGGUAUUCUUUAUUAUUAUUAUUUUUUGCACCAUGAUCACUGGAAAUGUGCAGGGUGUAGCUAUAAAAAUGACUGGACAAAUUUGCAAACAGAUGUAUCAUUAUAUGUAUAUGUACAUGUAUACAACAUGAUCCCUCAAUGAGGUAACCUAAGGAGGCUGAAAAGUUCUCCUAAAGAUGCUGCCUUGGCAAAGAUAUUUUAAAAAGUCCUUCUUGGGUAAUGGUGCCAGGCCCGGAUGUGAAACCCAAUCCACUGUUUAUGUCACUAGAAUUUCAUCUUGUUUGGGUCUGAUGUUGUGCCACAUUAAAGGUAGUCACCUCACUUGGUUUGCUAGAUCUGAACCCAAAUGAUGUCUGGCUAGUCAUCCGAAAGGGACAAGGAUUUUCACCACAGAGAGUCUGUUGUAGUACAAUUCCGUGGCAGAGCUCAGGCAAACCUCCCAUCACUGGCUCAGUCCUGGCAUAGCAUGUGGCUCUGCAAACUGCCUAUGCUGAAGGUGUACUCGCUGUGGUCACUCUGUCCUCUGUGCUCCCACCACCCUGGGUCCGGUCACUCACAGAAUGACUGAAGCAUGCUGCAGUGGAGAACUGGAAAUGUAUCUCUUGUUGCCCUCUAUCUCCACCCACCCUCCAGACUGGGGCCCAGAAUGCCCACGUCCAGCACUGUUGUAGACGGGAGGUCUGUCGCACUAAAGUGCUGCGCCGGCCACAUUAAGAUACCACAUGUGUUCCCAAGUGGUAUUGCAGCUGUCCCGAGGUCCAUCUCUUCUCCCUCUCAUACUGGGAACUCACUGGGAGGAAGUCUCGGCAGAUUCCUGCUCUGAUGGGCCUUCUCUCAUGCUAGUGUGGACUUCACGGGAUAGGGCAGACAGAGUAUUUGUUGCAUUUAUUUGUUCUAUCACUACAGAAGAAGCAUUUCAAAAUGUGUACAAAAGGAUACUCUAUUCCUCCAGUGGUACAUCCCUUGUUCACAGCUAAACAGCAAUAAUUUAACAUCAUCAUAGAGGCAGAUUGGAAAUAUGACUGCAUUUCUCAUUUACAAUCCUGUGCAUGUACUCGCCAGAAGGGCAGCUGAAGACCUAAAGCUGUACUGGAUACAACAGAUUCGACCUGAACAAUCACCACACACGACAUUAUAAAAAAGUGUAUUAGAAAGUAUUGGAAACAAUAUUGCAUAUUAAUAUGUGGUUACACAUGUUCACAGUGAGUGCCAUUGCACCAAAAGCAUUAUGUGCUUCUUUUUUCUGAUGCCUGUACAUCUUAAAUAAGUCUAAUAAUUUUGGUUCAUCUUAAAGUAAAAAUACAUUGAAAUGAAUGAGAGAGAUCUAGAUUUUAAAAGAGUUGACCAUUCAUUAUUGCUGGAACUGAAGAAAGGAAGGAUACACUGGUGUCAUGAUUUGUCUACGUAAGUCCAGUUCAUCUCGCGUUUGUUUUGGCAAGAAGAGGACGCUACAAAACUCACAGUGCAGUCAAAACAAAACAAAACAAAACAAGAAAAAAGCACAAAAAUUGGGGGGGUGGGAACCAUAUAACAACAAACCUACAUCUCAGGCAGCUCUUUCUCAAGGAAGAUUCUAAGAUUUUAUUAUGUGGCUAAUUCUAAAUUGGAAAUGGAACAUGCUGGUAUGUGAAGCAACUGGUGCUGGGACUUUACCCUUUGCUGAUAUGCAAUGAUAAUGUGAUGAUUUUUAGUGACUCUUGAAUUAGGAUAAUCACACUCGUUAGGUACAAAUUACAGAAGGAAUAUGGGGCAAGGAGCUGAGAUCCAGGCUUUCCACAUCUUGGGAAGCUGGGGUGUCAGAGAGGGGGAGGAACAAGAAACAGCAAUUACUAGCUGUAAUCAACAGGCCAACCUGUUAUGAGUUACCGUCCCGUCUCCAAUAUUUACUUCAAACACAAUGAGAGUGCAUGGAAUCUAGGCACACAGUAGUACACAGUAGUACCCAAGACACACACACACGCCAUCAUACAACAGAACAAACUACGCAACAAAAAGUGUGAAGUCAUGCAAACUCCUACUUUACCAGCUAGAAGAGAAACUUCAGCAACUUUUGGUACAUGAUAUGGUCACCUUUUAAACAUAAGUUAAUUACUUGCUGACAUAAUAUGAAACCUUACUUUAAAUACAAUAGUUUCAAAGAAAAAUGGUGUUACAAUAUAAAACCACAACAAAAGGUGUGCAAAGAGACAUUUAUAUUGGCUAUAAAAGGCAGUGAGAGGAAAGGGCAAAGCAGUUUAGAGAAGAAUUCCUGCAACCACUAUUUACAGUUCUAGUUUGAGCUUUGUUUGAAUUCCACUUGAAAAAAUAACUCCCUUCAACCAACUGACUCAGGGGGAUAGAUGGAAAAGAACAGAGUAGGUGAAAUUUGCAACAAACUGACUCCAAGGCUCUCACCUUACAGAUAUUAACUUGGAUAAGGCGCAUCUUUCUCUGUAAUUGCAUAUUGAAGGAGGACUGUCUAAAGCCCUUGGCUCCUCUCUCUCUCUUCCUUCACUCAGUGCAUUGUUGCGGCCAUUUUGUUUAUUCCAGUUUCCAAAUGCCACACCCUUCUGUGAGCAGAGAAAUCCAUGACUCAAGAAUGGUAUCUUUGUAAACUCCAUCCUUUCAACAAAACUCAAAUGUUUAUGAGGA
Molecule: long non-coding RNA, 3176 nt
Organism: Macaca fascicularis (crab-eating macaque)
Lineage: Eukaryota; Metazoa; Chordata; Mammalia; Primates; Cercopithecidae
Source: Ensembl